Molecule: ribosomal RNA, 324 nt
Filed under: uncultured Pseudomonas sp.
Lineage: Bacteria; Pseudomonadati; Pseudomonadota; Gammaproteobacteria; Pseudomonadales; Pseudomonadaceae
Description: bacterial SSU rRNA
Rfam family: Bacterial small subunit ribosomal RNA
Source: RNAcentral
CGUGUCGUGAGAUGUUGGUUAAGGUACUCCGUAACGAGCGCAACCCUUGUCCUUAGUUACCAGCACGUUAUGGUGGGCACUCUAAGGAGACUGCCGGUGACAAACCGGAGGAAGGUGGGGAUGACGUCAAGUCAUCAUGGCCCUUACGGCCUGGGCUACACACGUGCUACAAUGGUCGGUACAAAGGGUUGCCAAGCCGCGAGGUGGAGCUAAUCCCAUAAAACCGAUCGUAGUCCGGAUCGCAGUCUGCAACUCGACUGCGUGAAGUCGGAAUCGCUAGUAAUCGUGAAUCAGAAUGUCACGGUGAAUACGUUCCCGGGCCUU